AUUGCGAAUCAGAUCAGCCAUACUAUAGACUGUAUAAGAUACGCUUAGUCUUAAAAUAUAACCUCAUUAUGUCUAGAUUUGUCCUGAUUUUCUUGGUUGUGUGCGUCGUUGUAUGUUUAACUGAAUGCCAGCAAGGUGGUGGUAACGACGGGGCAAAAUUGACAGACUUGACCCCUACCGUGGGUGGCUUUCUUGCUUUUAUCCAAAAAGCUCUGGAACCUUUUUUUAACGCACUCGCACCAAUUCUGCAGUUCAUUUUACCCGGUCUUCAGUGAAAUCUCCAGGAUUGCCAAA
Long non-coding RNA from Parasteatoda tepidariorum (common house spider), 294 nucleotides. RefSeq lists it as uncharacterized. The record is from RefSeq and is a predicted model, not a curated record. NCBI's taxonomy places the organism in Eukaryota, Metazoa, Arthropoda, Arachnida, Araneae, Theridiidae.